Long non-coding RNA from Bos taurus (domestic cattle), 718 nucleotides. The record is from Ensembl. NCBI's taxonomy places the organism in Eukaryota, Metazoa, Chordata, Mammalia, Artiodactyla, Bovidae.
GUUCAUUAUUUGGCUGAGGUAUUUGCAGGGCCCGGCCGCGCAGCCUUGCUCAAACUUCUCCUUACCUGGCCCUCAUUGCAGCAAAAAAAGAAAAUGGAUAGAGGGAAAAAAUGGACUUCAUGGGUGGUUUUUCAGCCUCCAUCCCCUCAGGAGACCAGAGAUGCCAGAUGAGGAUCCGAGAGGCUGAGUAACUUGCCUGAGGAAAAACAGUCAAAGAGUGGAAGUAUCACUUGGCUGCAUCUGGAUCCAGAGUCCCUGCGCUUUCCACUGCCCUACUUAGAUGGCCCUGGGUCUCCUAUAAUAUCAGCACAGCCUGGUGCCCCCAAGGCUUUGAAAAAGUCCCACAGAUUGGAACCCAGCUCAGCUCCCAGGCACCCCCCAGGUCGGGAGGGAGAAUGCAGCUUUAGAACCUUAGCUGUCACCUCUGCCACCACCUUCUUCCCGGCAGAGGGACUCCCUCCAAGACUGGGUAAGGGUGUGAAAAAGGGGCAGCAGUGGGCAGGAUGGGGGUCAGACGCCGAGAGGGUAGCAAAGAUUGGAGCAUCAGGAAGUGAACAUGCCUGGGACUGUUGGGGAGCAGCGAUCCAGGGAGAGAGCUUGGUGUUUGGGGAUUCGACUGAGGCCUGUGAAGGAGAAGCAGAUGGGGCCUGGGGCUCCCCCAGAGUGUGGCCCUUCCCUGUCCCUUCUGCUCCCUCUCCAUCUUUAAAAAAUUUUAUUU